This 301-nucleotide ribosomal RNA is filed under the name uncultured bacterium. Its description in RNAcentral is "partial 16S ribosomal RNA". It matches the Rfam family "Bacterial small subunit ribosomal RNA", at positions 509 to 807 of the family's 1533-position model. The record is from RNAcentral.
CAGCAGCCGCGGGAAUACGUAGGUGGCAAGCGUUGUCCGGAAUUAUUGGGCGUAAAGGGCUCGCAGGCGGUUUCUUAAGUCUGAUGUGAAAGCCCCCGGCUCAACCGGGGAGGGUCAUUGGAAACUGGGAAACUUGAGUGCAGAAGAGGAGAGUGGAAUUCCACGUGUAGCGGUGAAAUGCGUAGAGAUGUGGAGGAACACCAGUGGCGAAGGCGACUCUCUGGUCUGUAACUGACGCCGAGGAGCGAAAGCGUGGGGAGCGAACAGGAUUAGAUACCCGCGUAGUCCCUGUCUCUUAUAC